This 447-nucleotide ribosomal RNA is filed under the name uncultured bacterium. Its description in RNAcentral is "bacterial SSU rRNA". It matches the Rfam family "Bacterial small subunit ribosomal RNA", at positions 330 to 794 of the family's 1533-position model. The record is from RNAcentral.
ACCAGACUCCUACGGGAGGCAGCAGUGGGGAAUAUUGCACAAUGGGGGAAACCCUGAUGCAGCAACGCCGCGUGAGUGAAGAAGUAUUUCGGUAUGUAAAGCUCUAUCAGCAGGGAAGAAGAUGACGGUACCUGACCAAGAAGCCCCGGCUAACUACGUGCCAGUAGCCGCGGUAAUACGUAGGGGGCAAGCGUUAUCCGGAUUUACUGGGUGUAAAGGGAGCGCAGACGGCAGUGCAAGUCUGGAGUGAAAGCCCGGGGCUCAACCCCGGAACUGCUUUGGAAACUGUGCGGCUGGAGUGCAGGAGGGGUAAGCGGAAUUCCUAGUGUAGCGGUGAAAUGCGUAGAUAUUAGGAGGAACACCGGUGGCGAAGGCGGCUUACUGGACUGUAACUGACGUUGAGGCUCGAAAGCGUGGGGAGCAAACAGGAUUAGAUACCCCCGUAGU